GGUUACUGUUCCGGUGGCCUAGUGGUUAGAGUGUCCGCCUCGGAUGCAGGUCACAGGUUCGAUCCCCGGUUGAGUCA
Molecule: non-coding RNA, 77 nt
Organism: Potamilus streckersoni
Lineage: Eukaryota; Metazoa; Mollusca; Bivalvia; Unionida; Unionidae
Source: the annotation of a GenBank genome assembly